RNAcentral lists this ribosomal RNA (253 nucleotides) under uncultured bacterium. RNAcentral describes it as "partial 16S ribosomal RNA". It matches the Rfam family "Bacterial small subunit ribosomal RNA", at positions 524 to 776 of the family's 1533-position model. The record is from RNAcentral.
UACGUAGGGUGCAGGCGUUAAUCGGAAUUACUGGGUGUAAAGCGUGCGCAGGCGGUUUGCUAAGACAGGUGUGAAAUCCCCGGGCUUAACCUGGGAACUGCGCUUGUAACUGGCAGGCUUGAGUGCGGCAGAGGGGGGUGGAAUUCCACGUGUAGCAGUGAAAUGCGUAGAGAUGUGGAGGAACACCGAUGGCGAAGGCAGCCCCCUGGGUCGACACUGACGCUCAUGCACGAAAGCGUGGGGAGCAAACAGG